This 124-nucleotide microRNA precursor is filed under the name Hordeum vulgare. RNAcentral describes it as "microRNA MIR1122". It matches the Rfam family "MIR1120/MIR1122 microRNA precursor family". Lineage: Eukaryota; Viridiplantae; Streptophyta; Magnoliopsida; Poales; Poaceae. The record is from RNAcentral.
AUACUACUCCCUUCGUCCGGAAAUAUUUGUUCUAAAAAUGAACAUAAUAGAUGUAUCUAUAACUAAAAUAAGUCUAGAUACAUUCAUCUUUAGGACAAGUAUUUUCGUACGGAGGGAGUAGUAU